GCCCGGGUGAUGGAAUAGGUAGACAGCAGGGCCUUAAAAGCCCUUGCCCCCCAGGGGCGUGUGGGUUCGAGUCCCACCCCGGGCA
RNAcentral lists this transfer RNA (85 nucleotides) under Actinomycetota bacterium. RNAcentral's name for it is "tRNA-Leu". It matches the Rfam family "tRNA". Rfam says of the family: Transfer RNA (tRNA) molecules are approximately 80 nucleotides in length. Their secondary structure includes four short double-helical elements and three loops (D, anti-codon, and T loops). The record is from RNAcentral. Lineage: Bacteria; Bacillati; Actinomycetota.